GACGACGCGGCUUGAGGAGCAGCACGCAGACCCGCCUCUCCUGACGACGCGGCCGGAGGAGCGGUGUCGGCAGCUUCGAGACUACGGCAGCGCGAAAGAUUCCAUAUAUAGGUGAUAUCCUACAGUGUUUCAGAGUUCAAAAGACUCUCACGACAGAAGCCAAAAGUCCUCUCACUGUCGUGGCCUCUCCCGUUGCGGAGCACAGGCUCCGGACGCACAGGCUCAGAGACCAUGGCUCACGG
This is a long non-coding RNA of Globicephala melas (long-finned pilot whale), 242 nucleotides long. RefSeq lists it as uncharacterized. The record is from RefSeq and is a predicted model, not a curated record. Lineage: Eukaryota; Metazoa; Chordata; Mammalia; Artiodactyla; Delphinidae.